Molecule: unclassified non-coding RNA, 348 nt
Filed under: soil metagenome
Description: partial contains 5.8S ribosomal RNA, internal transcribed spacer 2, and large subunit ribosomal RNA
Rfam family: 5.8S ribosomal RNA (bases 1-120)
Source: RNAcentral
GAUGAAGAACGCAGCGAAAUGCGAUAAGUAAUGUGAAUUGCAGAAUUCAGUGAAUCAUCGAGUCUUUGAACGCACAUUGCGCCCCCUGGUAUUCCGGGGGGCAUGCCUGUCCGAGCGUCAUUGCUGCCCUCAAGCACGGCUUGUGUGUUGGGCCCCGCCCCCCGGCUCCCGGGGGGCGGGCCCGAAAGGCAGCGGCGGCAUCGCGUCCGGUCCUCGAGCGUAUGGGGCUUCGUCACCCGCUCCGUAGGCCCGGCCGGCGCCCGCCGGCGACCCCCCUCAAUCUUUUCAGGUUGACCUCGGAUCAGGUAGGGAUACCCGCUGAACUUAAGCAUAUCAAUAAGCGGAGGA